GCGUGGAUGAUGAAGGCCUUAGGGUUGUAAAAUCCUUUCAACGGGGACGAUAAUGACGGUACCCGUAGAAGAAGCCCCGGCUAACUUCGUGCCAGCAGCCGCGGUAAUACGAAGGGGGCUAGCGUUGCUCGGAAUUACUGGGCGUAAAGCGCACGUAGGCGGAUAUUUAAGUCGGAGGUGAAAUCCCAGGGCUCAACCCUGGAACUGCCCUCGAUACUGGGUAUCUGGACCAAAGUAGAGGUAAGUGGAAUUCCGAGUGUAGAGGUGAAAUUCGU
Molecule: ribosomal RNA, 275 nt
Filed under: uncultured bacterium
Lineage: Bacteria
Description: partial 16S ribosomal RNA
Rfam family: Bacterial small subunit ribosomal RNA
Source: RNAcentral